This 61-nucleotide transfer RNA is filed under the name Eubacteriales bacterium. RNAcentral describes it as "tRNA-OTHER". It matches the Rfam family "tRNA". From Rfam's summary of the family: Transfer RNA (tRNA) molecules are approximately 80 nucleotides in length. Their secondary structure includes four short double-helical elements and three loops (D, anti-codon, and T loops). Further hydrogen bonds mediate the characteristic L-shaped molecular structure. tRNAs have two regions of fundamental functional importance: the anti-codon, which is responsible for specific mRNA codon recognition, and the 3' end, to which the tRNAs corresponding amino acid is attached (by aminoacyl-tRNA synthetases). tRNAs cope with the degeneracy of the genetic code in two manners: having more than one tRNA (with a specific anti-codon) for a particular amino acid; and 'wobble' base-pairing, i.e. permitting non-standard base-pairing at the 3rd anti-codon position. The record is from RNAcentral. Lineage: Bacteria; Bacillati; Bacillota; Clostridia; Eubacteriales.
GGGAUAGUAACUCAGUUGGCAAGAGGAAAUUGUGUCGUCGGUUCGAGUCCGAUCUAUCCUA